Diospyros lotus (date-plum) is the source of this 251-nucleotide long non-coding RNA. RefSeq lists it as uncharacterized. NCBI's taxonomy places the organism in Eukaryota, Viridiplantae, Streptophyta, Magnoliopsida, Ericales, Ebenaceae. The record is from RefSeq and is a predicted model, not a curated record. The transcript is spliced from 3 exons.
GCGAAAUUAAUGGAGAAGAGGGCCGACCAGCUUCGGGAAAAGGAGAGUUAGGGAAUUUUGGAAUUAAUUGGUGUUCAAAAUACCCAGUUCCUAUAAAACGCUUUACUUCGCAACGGGAGCACAAAAGAGGCAGGAAUCAGUCGAUUACAGAUAAGAGAAUUGUCAUCGGUAUUAGGUUCGUUCAACGGAGUUGGGUCCAAAUCGUCGAGUCAUGAUAGCAAGUACAGAGCUCUCCCGAACCUAGGUCCUGG